UAGGGAAUAUUAGUAAUGGACGAAAGUCUGAUCUAGCAACACCGCGUGUGCGAAGAAGGCCUUCGGGUCGUAAAGCACUUUUUGGAAGGAAUAGGAAGGAAUGUACUUCCAGAAUAAGUCUCGGCUAACUACGUGCCAGCAGCCGCGGUAACACGUAGGAGGCAAACGUUAUCCGGAUUUACUGGGCGUAAAGCGCGUGUAGGUGGUACUGUAAGUAGGGCGUGAAAGCUCCUGGCUCAACUGGGAGAGGCCGUUCUAAACUACAGAACUAGAGGAUGGUAGAGGGAGGUGGAAUUCCAGGUGUAGCGGUGGAAUGCGCAGAUAUCUGGAGGAACACCGGUGGCGAAGGCGGCCUCCUGGACCAUUCCUGACACUCAGACGCGAAAGCUAGGGUAACAAACG
This 402-nucleotide ribosomal RNA is filed under the name uncultured bacterium. RNAcentral's name for it is "bacterial SSU rRNA". It matches the Rfam family "Bacterial small subunit ribosomal RNA", at positions 355 to 774 of the family's 1533-position model. The record is from RNAcentral.